Molecule: ribosomal RNA, 773 nt
Filed under: uncultured bacterium
Lineage: Bacteria
Description: partial 16S ribosomal RNA
Rfam family: Bacterial small subunit ribosomal RNA
Source: RNAcentral
GGCCGCGGGAAUUCGAUUGGAUCGCCCUUAGAGUUUGAUCAUGGCUCAGGAUGAACGCUAGCGGCAGGCCUAAUACAUGCAAGUCGAACGGGAUUUGAGUAGCAAUACUUAAUGAGAGUGGCGCACGGGUGCGUAACGCGUAUGCAACCUACCUUUAACAGGGGGAUAGCUCCGAGAAAUCGGGAUUAAUACCCCAUAGUAUUAUUGAUUGGCAUCGAUUAAUAAUUAAAGCUCCGGCGGUUAAAGAUGGGCAUGCGUGCCAUUAGCUAGUUGGUGAGGUAAGGGCUCACCAAGGCGAUGAUGGCUAGGGGUUCUGAGAGGAUUAUCCCCCACACUGGUACUGAGACACGGACCAGACUCCUACGGGAGGCAGCAGUAAGGAAUAUUGGGCAAUGGACGCAAGUCUGACCCAGCCAUGCCGCGUGCAGGAAGACGGCCCUAUGGGUUGUAAACUGCUUUUAUCAGGGAAUAAACCCCCGGAUGUAUCCGGGGCUGAAUGUACCUGAAGAAUAAGCAUCGGCUAACUCCGUGCCAGCAGCCGCGGUAAUACGGAGGAUGCAAGCGUUAUCCGGAUUCAUUGGGUUUAAAGGGUGCGCAGGCGGAUUAUUAAGUCAGUGGUGAAAUCCUACAGCUCAACUGUAGAACUGCCAUUGAUACUGUUAAUCUUGAGUAUAUUUGAAGUGGGCGGAAUGUAGCAUGUAGCGGUGAAAUGCAUAGAUAUGCUACAGAACACCAAUUGCGAAGGCAGCUCACUAAACUAUAACUGACGCUCA